RNAcentral lists this ribosomal RNA (402 nucleotides) under uncultured bacterium. RNAcentral describes it as "bacterial SSU rRNA". It matches the Rfam family "Bacterial small subunit ribosomal RNA", at positions 355 to 774 of the family's 1533-position model. The record is from RNAcentral.
UGGGGAAUAUUGGACAAUGGGCGAAAGCCUGAUCCAGCAAUGCCGCGUGAGUGAUGAAGGCCCUAGGGUUGUAAAGCUCUUUUACCCGGGAUGAUAAUGACAGUACCGGGAGAAUAAGCUCCGGCUAACUCCGUGCCAGCAGCCGCGGUAAUACGGAGGGAGCUAGCGUUGUUCGGAAUUACUGGGCGUAAAGCGCGCGUAGGCGGUUUUUUAAGUCAGAGGUGAAAGCCCGGGGCUCAACCCCGGAAUUGCCUUUGAAACUGGAUAACUUGAAUCUUGGAGAGGUCAGUGGAAUUCCGAGUGUAGAGGUGAAAUUCGUAGAUAUUCGGAGGAACACCAGUGGCGAAGGCGACUGAAUGGACAAGUAUUGACGCUGAGGUGCGAAAGCGUGGGGAGCAAACA